UCGUCUUUCUGCAUAUGGUUGUU
RNAcentral lists this microRNA (23 nucleotides) under Ciona intestinalis (vase tunicate). RNAcentral's name for it is "cin-miR-4040-5p". The record is from miRBase by way of RNAcentral. Lineage: Eukaryota; Metazoa; Chordata; Ascidiacea; Phlebobranchia; Cionidae.